AAUCCGCCGAAUUCCCGUUGAUCCUGCGGGGGGCCAUCGCUAUCUCCUUCCGACUAACCCAUGGGAGGCUAGGGAUACCGGGUAAGGUAUCCCACCGCACGGCUGAGUAACACGUCGAUAACUCUGUCUCGGGAGGAGAAUAUCCUCGGGAAACUGAGGGUAAUUCUCCAUAGGAAAUGGGGUGUGGAAUUCCCCCAUUUCCGAAAAGGACUGGGAUAAUCCCUCCCAGUUCCGCCCGAGAGGAGGUCGGCGGCCUAUCAGGUAGUUGGCGGGGUAAUGGCCCGCCAAGCCUAAGACGGGUAGGGGCCGUGAGAGCGGGAGCCCCCAGAUCGGCACUGAGACAAGGGCCGAGGUCCUACGGGAUGCACCAGGGGCGAAACCUCCGCAAUGGGUGAAAGCCUGACGGGGGGAGGGAGAGUGCCUGGGGUCUUCCCCAGGCUUUUUGGGAGUGUAAAAAGCUCCCAGAAUAAGCAGUGGGCCAGAGGGGUGGCAGUCGCCACGGGAAUACCCCCGCUGCGAGCGAUGGCCUCGAUUACUGGGCCUAAAGGGGCCGUAGCCGGGCUGGUGUGACCCCUGUGAAAUCCACGGCAAUAAUUCCGUGGGCGUGCAGGGGUUACUACUAGUCUAGGGGACGGAAGAAGCCAAGGGUAUUCCCGGGGGAGUAGCGAAAUGCAGCAAUCCCGGGAAGACCACCCGAGGCGAAGGCGCUUGGCUAUUCCGAUCCCGACGGUGAUGGCCGAAAGCUGGGGGAUCAAAAGGGAUUAGAGACCCCUGUAGUCCCAGCUGUCAACUCUGUGGGCUACCUGCUGGGUGGACUUAGAGUCCACUCAGUGGGGUAGGGAAGCCGUUAAGCCCACCGCCUGGGGAGUACGGCCGCAAGGCUGAAACUUAAAGGAAUAGGCGGGGGGGCACACAAGGGGUGGGGUGUGCGGGUUAAUGGGACCCAACACCGGAAACCUUACCGGGAGCGACAGCAGGAUGAUGGUCAGGCUGAAGACCUUACCGGACACGCUGAGAGGAGGUGCAUGGCUGCCGUCAGCUCGUGCCGUGAGGUAUCCUGUUAAGUCAGGAAACGAGCGCGACCCGCACCCGUAGUUACGACGGAGAGGAUUUCCUCUCCGGUACACUACGGGGACUGCCGGGGAAACCCGGAGGAAGGCGCGGGCGACGGCAAGUCCGCAUGCCCCUAAUCUCCCGGGCUACACGCGCGCAACAAUGGGCGGGACAAUGGGAACCGACCCCGAAAGGGGAAGGAAAUCCCAGAAACCCGCUCUCAGUCCAGAUUGAGGGCUGUAACUCGCCCUCAUGACGGUGGAAUCCCUAGUAAUCGGGGGUCACUAUUCCCCCGGUGAAUACGUCCCUGCCCCUUGCACUCACCGCCCGUCAAGCCAACCGAGUCGUUUCCUGGUGAGGCCCGUUAAAGCGGGUCGAACCGGGAAACGGCGAGGGGGGCUAAGUCGUCACAAGGUAGCCGUAGGGGAACCUGCGGCUGGAUCUAGUU
This 1501-nucleotide ribosomal RNA is filed under the name Candidatus Nanobsidianus stetteri. RNAcentral describes it as "SSU rRNA". It matches the Rfam family "Archaeal small subunit ribosomal RNA". Lineage: Archaea; Nanobdellati; Nanobdellota; Candidatus Nanoarchaeia; Nanoarchaeales; Nanopusillaceae. The record is from RNAcentral.